GACAGCCCGGGCCCCCUCUUGGCCAAAGAAGUCCUCGAAAGCGUUCGGCGCACGGGCUUUGUCCAGCUUUUUUAACCGUAACAAGGACCGGGGCCGGGCGCGGUGGCUCACGCCUGUAAUCCCAGCAUUUUGGGAAGUCGAGGCGGACGGAUUACUUGAGGUCAUGAGUUCGAGACCAGCCUGGCCAACACGGUGAAACUCUGUCUUUAAAAAAGAAAACAAAAACAAUAACAAGGACCCUAGAACAGCUCUUAGCAAAGAUAUCCAGACGCUGUAUGCAGGAAGAACUGAAUUUGAGAGGACACCGUUUGAUCUUCAACACCUGGCAGUUUACAAAACAGAGACGGGGUGUCGUCAUGUUGCCCAGGCUGGUCUCGAACUCCGGAGCUCAAGCGAUCUGCCUGCCUCGGCCUUUCAAAGUGCUGAGACUACAGGUAUGAGUCACAGUCCCUGGCAAUGAAGGUAUUUUUUACAUGUGAUUAACGUUUAAAUCAGUAGACUCCAG
This 505-nucleotide long non-coding RNA is filed under the name Pan troglodytes (chimpanzee). RNAcentral describes it as "long non-coding RNA NONPTRT003055". Lineage: Eukaryota; Metazoa; Chordata; Mammalia; Primates; Hominidae. The record is from RNAcentral.